GACGAACGCUGGCGGCGUGCUUAAUACAUGCAAGUCGAACGGAAAGGCGCUGCUCUUGUGGGUCUCUCGAGUGGCGAACGCGUGAGUAACACGUGUGUAACCUGCACUUGUCUUUGGGAUAACUUCAGGAAACUGCGGCUAAUACCGGAUAGGAGCUACUGCUGCAUGGUGGUGGUUGGAAAGUUUCGGCGGUUGUGGAUGGACUCGAGGCUUAUCAGCUUGUUGGUGGGGUAGUGGCUUACCAAGGCUGUGACGGGUAGCCGGCCUGAGAGGGUGAACGGCGACAUGGGGACUAAGGGACGGACCAGAAUGCUACGGGAGGCAGCAGUGGGGAAUAUGGCAGAAUGGGCGGAAGCCUGUUGCAGCAACGCCGGGAGCGUGAUGCCGGCCUUCGGGUUGUGAACCGCUUUCGCCGGAGACGAAGCGUGAGUGACGGUAAUUGGUCAGGAAGCACCGGCUAACUACGUG
RNAcentral lists this ribosomal RNA (468 nucleotides) under uncultured bacterium. RNAcentral's name for it is "partial 16S ribosomal RNA". It matches the Rfam family "Bacterial small subunit ribosomal RNA", at positions 28 to 507 of the family's 1533-position model. The record is from RNAcentral.